This 1009-nucleotide long non-coding RNA is filed under the name Homo sapiens (human). RNAcentral describes it as "HSALNT0324015". The record is from RNAcentral. Lineage: Eukaryota; Metazoa; Chordata; Mammalia; Primates; Hominidae.
UCGUAACUUCUCUGGUUCUGUUUUAUUCAUUAUAAUCCUCAAAAACCCUGAAAGAAACAGAAUAACCUUUUUAUUGACCCACUCAAGUUAUUUAAUUUUUAUGUUUCCCUAGCCCAUAUCUGUUCACGUAUAGCUGAAAAUAAAAAAGAAACGGUGGAUUGAAAUUGAAGGGAAAUAGACAAUAGUUAUUGUUCCUAGCUUAAUUGGGAGAGAAAGCCAGAGUAAAAUAAGAGUCUAUUGCAGCUAAGAGGAAGAAGUUCUUUAGUCUCAACCAAAUAUGUAAAUAUAACAUCUCUCUUCUAAUAUUUUUAGUGCUAAUUCCUAGUAUAGAGCUGAUUAAGGGUGGGGGAAGCACAUAUUUAAUGGCCAUUAUUAUGCUAUUCUGAGGAAAAUUCUCUCAGUGUCUAAUAUUUUAAAAAUGGGUUUUAAUUAGAUCUUAUCAGCAACCCUAAAAUGCAACUUUUCUCACCCUCCAGAAAACAAAACAAAACAAAACAAAACUCACACCAUCCCCAAAACUAGGCUUGAUGAAUAACCACAUGGAAAAUAUGGAAAGAUGUUUCAUUAACCACACGGCAGAUGGAACUAGGUGGGAGGAAAACCUACCACAGCUUCUCUUAAUGGCAUAUUCAGGCUUUACUUCAGAAAAGGGAAGCAUCUAAAAAAGAUUGGAAGAAUUUCUCACCACUCUGCAGGCAGCUGUCUCCUCCCAGCACCCAGGACCUGAACUCAGAAACUACCAGCAACACAGACGAACUCCGGGUGAGGACGACAAGAGCUGAGCUCGGGUGCUUGCCUUCUGCACUCUCGGGAGGAGGCACCAGCAUGGGCACCCUUCACAGUUCGGGCCCCUCACUCACAAACGUCUGGCACAUGGAAACAAGCUGGCAAAAAGAUUGUUUUUUUCUUCUGUACUUUUUGUUAUAAGCCUGUGGUGAAGUGUCCAUAUCUGGCAUAAAUGAAUGUGAGUGGUCUUGGGAAUCUAAAUAUAACAUGUUUCUAAGUUACA